GGAGGUAGGAUACUAGCCAUUGCUGAUAACAGCAGCUGCUGUUUUUCACUUACUAUACAACUGUCAAGUGCUGGGAGCCCAACUCAAGACUGAUGUGUGCUUGGCAGGCAGUCUACCCCCGAUCUCAGUCCUCCAGCCUUUCGGCCUUUUUUCCUUUUUGGAGACAGAAUUGCAUCAUAUGGCAUCCUACACAGUCCUGCCUCAGUCUCUGCAGUGCUGGGAUUGUAGGCCUAUGCCACCUAGCCUUUCUACAAUACAAACAAAUAUGAAAAGAAGAGGGACUUCUUUGGAAAGGAGUACAGGGACUAUGGAAGAGAUGAAAAGAUAAUAUUGUCAGAAAUUAUGCCGCUUUUGAAGAGAUAAACUGAACUCUUGAUUCUGUGAGGUUAUUAAAGAAUAUUAAUUUUCAAAUCACGGUAAAAUCUUGAUUCAGCAACACAUGAGGAUAAUCAUUGUGUCCAUGGAAACCUUGGGAAGCAGUUGAAAGCCUGGUCCCUCUUGCCUGGAGCAUUAACACAACGUGGCUGCAAAGUUAGUCCUUUCCCGCUACCAUCUCCUGAAUACUGGGACUAACUACACGUAUGCACGAACCUGCCCAUCUUUGCCUCUGUUAACAGCUGCCACUGUCUCUUCACGACAUGAUGGCUGACCUAGGUUGGAAGGAACAGAGCCAGUUGGCCAUGGACUGAAACUUUUGGAACUGAUUCUGAGGAGUUAAUGUUUCCAUGAAUAUCUCAGAAGGAGAUGUGGACAAACGAACAGUUAUCUCACUCCUGUAGUGUGGCUCAAGGUAAGCCCACCUUCCUGAGUGAUUGUCCCUUGGCCAAGCACAUGACUCAGCCCAACUGGAUUAAUUUGUAAGGGAGGAGACAAUGGCAUGCCUGCACCCAGAGGACAACUUGAGCAGAAUCUAAGAGAUUCCUUUAAUUACAAGGUGCAAAUGUCUGCUUGGCAUUAGAUUUGCUGUCUCUUUGGAAGGUGUGCCGCAUCUUUAGAAAAUCUGUAUCCUUUAUGCCUGCUGCUACCCCCAGAAUCUUAAGACAAGGGUUGGACUACAGUGAUCACUGAGUAGGAGCUUCGUCUUUAAAAUCUGGGGUGUGCUGUUAUGCAAUCUUCUUUCCCUGCCCAGUACUGGAUCUGUGAAAAGCUGAAUCAUGAAUCAGUGAGUGUGCGGAUUGGAACCCAAGUUGCUCUCUGGAUAGAACGAAAGGAGUCGUGCCCCAAGAAGAUGGAGAGGGAAGUUAUGAAAUGCUGUGACCAAAUAACAAAUGCUGAUGUUUGGGGAGAUAACUGUUUCCCAUAGGAAAUAGAGUGAAUGCGAUGUCUUUCUUUUGUGAGGGAUUCAUAGACCGCUUCUCAACGCUUGUUACAUGUUACUCCUUUUUUCGAGAUUUUUAUUUACCUAACUGGGAAAGAAACCAGAACAAGGUUUUCAUUGAAUUCUGAUACAGGUAUUUAAAGACUUACGGACAAGAUAUAGAAGAAGAAGUGGUAAUUAACUGAUUAAAGAAGUACAGUUUAUAUCCAGUAGACAGACAGGCUCCAGACAUCCUUAGUGCUGUCUUAGCAUCAAAGGUUAAUCUACCUAAUACUUGUCAUCCUGAAAUGCAUGGUGGAACAUCCAACAGACAAGAGCUACUUCAGGGAAGGACUAUGAUUUUUGUCGUGGAAGACAUUUAACACAGGGCAGCUCCUGUGCACUUACAUGAUAGAUAUUGCUCUUCCGGGGACUCUGAAUGCUCAUCCCACUUUCAGCUCACUAGGCACAUCGAACUAGAAAUUUUAUCAUCUCGUGAAUUAGUCCAAUACCUGAAGGAGCAAGAGAACCAACACCCAGUUGACAAGAAUAUGACCUGUUGAUUGAAGACCAUUAAGAAAGUAACUUGAUUCAGUUGGACUGGACUUUUUUAUUCUAUUGAAAAAGGAAUUUAUUUCCCCUCAGUGAACGUAACAUGAUCAACAUUUUGAAAGUUGUGAACAUGCAUAGUUCUAUAAUUUACAAAAUAAUUAUAAAAAUCUGAGUAUGGAUGCAGCAUAAUUUCAGAACAGAAUAGCCAUCAUACUUUUUAUAUAUCUUAAAUUCGAGUUUUCAAGAGUAUAUUUCUAUGUUAUAUCCUUUGAUUAGUACAAUAUAAAAUCUACAUCUAAUAUGUACUUCAGGUUUUAUUAGAUCAUGCCAUAUUACUGUACAAUUUGGACUUUUCCAUUUUUAUAUAAAAUGUAACAUGCAUUGUACAUUAAUAUUUAUAUAUCUUGUUUAUUUAUAUAUCUUUAGAAUUAAUUUCUGCCAAUUAUUUUCUUUAUUUGAAUACUUGGGGUAUCAUAAAGGUGCUGUUGAGGUAUUCUCAAUAUGCUUGUACAACUUCCUGCCUGUAGUUAAUAAAUGUGGAUAUUUCAUUAAACAAUUGAAAUAUAA
RNAcentral lists this long non-coding RNA (2416 nucleotides) under Mus musculus (house mouse). RNAcentral describes it as "Ftx transcript, Xist regulator, non-protein coding". Lineage: Eukaryota; Metazoa; Chordata; Mammalia; Rodentia; Muridae. The record is from RNAcentral.